RNAcentral lists this ribosomal RNA (522 nucleotides) under uncultured Glomus. RNAcentral describes it as "SSU rRNA". It matches the Rfam family "Eukaryotic small subunit ribosomal RNA", at positions 569 to 1092 of the family's 1831-position model. The record is from RNAcentral. Lineage: Eukaryota; Fungi; Glomeromycota; Glomeromycetes; Glomerales; Glomeraceae.
AGCAGCCGCGGUAAUUCCAGCUCCAAUAGCGUAUAUUAAAGUUGUUGCAGUUAAAAAGCUCGUAGUUGAAUUUCGGGAUCAAUAUGUCUGUCGUGCCUUCGGUACGUACGGGUAUAAUUGGUUUCUACCUUCUGAUGAACCUUGAUGCCAUUAAUUUGGUGUCUUGGGGACUCAGGACUGUUACCUUGAAAAAAUUAGAGUGUUUAAAGCAGGCAUGCGCUUGAAUACAUUAGCAUGGAAUAAUGAAAUAGGACGUUCGAUUCUAUUUUGUUGGUUUCUAGGAUCGACGUAAUGAUUAAUAGGGAUAGUUGGGGGCAUUAGUAUUCAAUUGUCAGAGGUGAAAUUCUUGGAUUUAUUGAAGACUAACUACUGCGAAAGCAUUUGCCAAGGAUGUUUUCAUUAAUCAAGAACGAAAGUUAGGGGAUCGAAGACGAUCAGAUACCGUCGUAGUCUUAACCAUAAACUAUGCCGACUAGGGAUCGGAUGAUGUUAAUUUUUUAAUGACUCAUUCGGCGCCUUACG